RNAcentral lists this transfer RNA (72 nucleotides) under Marmota monax (woodchuck). Its description in RNAcentral is "tRNA.Ala". It matches the Rfam family "tRNA". From Rfam's summary of the family: Transfer RNA (tRNA) molecules are approximately 80 nucleotides in length. The record is from RNAcentral. Lineage: Eukaryota; Metazoa; Chordata; Mammalia; Rodentia; Sciuridae.
GUAGGGUUUAGCUCAGUGGCAGAGCACUUGCCUAGCAUGCUAAGAUCUUGGGUUUGAUUCCCCAACACCACA